Molecule: long non-coding RNA, 2651 nt
Organism: Triticum aestivum (bread wheat)
Lineage: Eukaryota; Viridiplantae; Streptophyta; Magnoliopsida; Poales; Poaceae
Exons: 4
Source: RefSeq, a predicted model, not a curated record
CUCGUCUGCGAUCGGGUUGGUUUCCCAUGGAGGAUGUCGCACGCCGCCAUCGCCAUGGCGGCCGUCCUGACCCAGGUCCAUGCGGCGGAGGAGCCCACCUCAUCAGCGCCCUGCCGGAGGAUCUGCUCCUCCAGGCCCUCGUCCGCCUCCGCUGCGCCCGCGCCGCCGCGCGCACAGGCCUCCUCUCCCGCCGGUGGGCGCGGCCUCUGGACCCGCCUCCCCGACCUCGUCUUCCGCUCCUACCCACGCUCGGCCAGCUCCUACCCGCGCUCGCCUCGCUCCAAGCCGCGGCCGGCCCCGGGGUGACCCUCCUCGACAUCCGCGUCGCCGGGCUUGAGCGGGAGGCUGCGCUGGUCUCUUCGCUGCUCCAUGCCGCCGCGGGGCUCUCGCCGGCGGAGUUCCGCCUGGCCCUCCCGCGCGACCUCCCGUUCUUCCACGUGGAGGUGCCUCGCUCGCUUCCACCGCGCCACCUCCAUGGACCUCGCCGCGCACUACCUCCACCUCUUGCUGUCACGCAUCAGCAGGUUCCCCGCGCUCCAGAGACUGUCCCUCUCGUCCCCCCGCGUCGACCUCGCCGACUUGCUCCACAGCUGCCCGUGCCUGCGGGUGCUCAGGGUGGCCGACGGGUUCCUCGACAGCAACAUCGCCAUCAAAUCGGAGUCUUGGGAGGAGCUCGCUGCGGAGAGCCUGAACAAAUGGACAGACUGUAUCUACAUCGAGGCGCCUAUGCUCAAGAAAUUGGCAGUGUGAUUCAGCAUCGACAGCGAGCUCACCGUGUCCAUCGCGGCGCCAAUCGUGGAGAAGGUCUCUUGGGAGUUCUUCUAUUGCUAUUCCUCGCUCACCCGUGGGCUUGGUCUCAUUUCUGUACCAUCAGUAAAUGAAUUGUGGUAAUCCACAUUUGUUCUAGUUCAAAGAAGAAUGCCCGGUAAAUUGUCCCUGCGAUGAGCCCAGGAGCUGGAGAAGCAAAAAUGUCUCAUUGAUCAAUCUCGAAGAAGUGGAAAUGGAAGGCUUCGAAGGGGAGGGCCAUGAGUUUGAUUUGCUGAAAGUGAUAAUCAGAUGUGCAACUACGCUUAAAAGAAUGGCCGUGCGGAUGUCUGAUGAGGUCAGAACAAGUAACGACCGGUGUUCGAAAAUAUACGACAUCUUCAAGGCGUAUCCUUUCGUGGAAUGCAAUGUUCAUCUUAGUUCUGGGCCAAACCGCGGCAGCCAAAGUUCUGCGCUCGCAUGAUUCUCAUCCCUGUGUUUACGGGUUCACGGUGCUCAUCGUCAGGAGGGUCCUCUCCAACGCAGAAUUUUGCUUGGCGGCUGCUUCGAUGAACAAACUGAGCCACUGAGGUGUUAUUCCACCGAUGUCAACAGAAUUUUGCUCUUUCAUUAGGCUUGUUAUAAUCCUUGACGAAAAUCAUUGAAGCCAUAUGUGUCGUAGUUCAUUCUGACUGACCACCAUGCAAUUGCCAAAAUUCAGUCUACUGAACCUGUCUCGGGCAAAAAAUGGUCCUCUCUUAAGCCUCAAUCAGCUCAGUGAUUUCAUUCACCAAAAGUUGGAUAGAGCAUCAGAGAGGAAGAAUGCUCACUUUAUCCUCUCUUUUUGUCAAGCAAGCAUGUGGCCGGUUUGGCAAGGGCUCCAGCCAGUCAACCCAUAGGAUUCUGCAGUGCAGCAAACAAAAAUAAACGUCCAGGAUGGAUGGAUGGAUAGAUCCAGGCAACAUUUUGACUCCUACCUCGUGGCCUGCUCCGUCCCAGCAUUUGUUAAAUCAGAGAACUGGGCUGUAAAGCAAUGGCCAACUGUUUUUAUUUAUAUUCUUCUUUCUGUUGGUGUUGGGGCAUGGAACUGCCUCCUCUGCUCUGCAUUUCAUCUCAGCAAAUAACCAUGGCCUUGCUGCUGCUGCUGCUUCCCUACAGCCUAAAGACUACUGGUACAUGCAACAUCAUCCUCCAUCUCUAGCUAUGAACAAGGGGAGAGAAGGGAGGAUGCCGCGGGUCGAACGCGACAGACGGAGGCGCCUUCUCUCGCUUCGUCGUCUUCAGUUUCUUCUUCUCCUCUGCCGUGACCGCCUCGAUCAGCUGCAUCACCUCCCCCUCAAGGAGCAUCUUGAGCGAGCUGGAGUAGAGCUUGUGCUUGCCCUUCUCGAUGACCACGGCCGUCGAAGCCUCCGAGCAGUGCAGCAGAGAGAUGCAGGCUGAGAAUGCCUGUAACGCUGAUAGCUGCGCGUGGAAAUCCACCAACAGCUGCCCUUUCCCGUCGGCUUUCAUGGAAAGGGCAGGGAGCUCCUCUUUGCUACCCUGUUUGAACAAUAAAUGGACACACAUGACGGCUACUCUUGUUUGCAGUAAGAUGAAUAUAUUACAGCUAACUCAGGGCAAUUUACUGCAUAAGAUUAGACUAGAAAGAACAAUAAGUUUUAGGCUCUCAGGCAUCAGCUAGCUGCAUUUGACCUUCAAAAUAAAUCUUUUCCUUCACAAUGGCAUAAAUUAUUACACUUUAUGCUAAAGGACCAAUAACUAAAGGUAUGCCUAACCAAGUCCUAUUUUAAAGAAUUGUUCUACAGAUAGAGAAGUAGUGCAAAUAAACAAGUUGAUAUGAGGAUGAUUGUCCUGAGUAACAGAGCUAAUUAAUUACUUCUACAAGAUGUUUGAUCAGUUUUGCAUUA